GUGUCAGCAGCCGCGGUAACACGUAGGGGACGAGCGUUGUCCGGAUUCAUUGGGCGUAAAGCGCGCGUAGGCGGCCCGGAAAGUCGGAUGUGAAAACCUGGGGCUCAACCCCAGGCGUGCACCCGAUACUCCCGGGCUGGAGGCAGGUAGGGGAGAUCGGAAUUCCUGGUGUAGCGGUGAAAUGCGCAGAUAUCAGGAGGAACACCGGUGGCGAAGGCGGAUCUCUGGGCCUUGCCUGACGCUGAGGCGCGAAAGCUAGGGGAGCGAACAGGAUUAGAUACCCCGGUAGUCC
This 292-nucleotide ribosomal RNA is filed under the name uncultured bacterium. Its description in RNAcentral is "partial 16S ribosomal RNA". It matches the Rfam family "Bacterial small subunit ribosomal RNA", at positions 505 to 796 of the family's 1533-position model. The record is from RNAcentral.